UCAAACUUGGUCAUUUAGAGGAAGUAAAAGUCGUAACAAGGUUUCCGUAGGUGAACCUGCGGAAGGAUCAUUAGCGAAAUGCUAUGUAUUUUUUAAUAUUUAGGGCCACGCCCGUUUGGAAACGUCGCACGGAAGGUGUGGCUGACCAACGGUGUGCGUGGGAGUUGGGGUUUGGCCCACAUGGGGCGGAAGGAACCGCGCGUAGCACAGGAUGUGGAGGAUACACUGCUUUCUUAUGCGGCGGCGGGGAAAGAGCAUGUAAUUAUGUAUUAUUUGUGUGUUGAAGUAUAACGAGUAGAGGGGGCUAAUAUAGAGAUAUAUAAGCUAACUAACAUAAUGCAAAAACAACUUUUGGCAAUGGAUCUCUUGGCUCUUGCAUCGAUGAAGAACGCAGC
RNAcentral lists this unclassified non-coding RNA (395 nucleotides) under uncultured fungus. Its description in RNAcentral is "partial contains small subunit ribosomal RNA, internal transcribed spacer 1, and 5.8S ribosomal RNA". The stretch from base 1 to 73 matches the Rfam family "Eukaryotic small subunit ribosomal RNA", at positions 1759 to 1831 of the family's 1831-position model. The record is from RNAcentral. Lineage: Eukaryota; Fungi.